CUCAGGCCUGGACCAUCACUGUUGCCCAUCCCAUGCCAUCAACAGGUUUGCCCCAUCCCUUCGGCUCCCUACCAGGGCAUUCAGUUGUGUUGAGCAGCAGAGUGUCUCCAAGUCCCCACUGGUUGAGCUGCAUCCGGGUCCCAUCCCACAGGGACCCCCCCUGGCCGCUGCAGGUGCAUGCUGAUCCUGCAGCUCCUCAAGGGUGUCAUCGCUUUCCCCCUUCCCAGACCCAGCACACGCUGCCUGCAUGGCGCUGUGCUGCACCUUCACUCUGGUCACGGGUCUGGCAGUCGGCUCACCAAUUCCUCCCGCUUCCCUGGGACUCGCCGGCUUUUAGCACUGCAAUUCACUCAGCAAACUGGGACUGUUGGUCACCCUACCUGGCAGCCAGUGAUAAGGUGAGGGCCACUCCUGGGAGGGAGGACACCUGUGGGGAAAAUUCUUGUUAUUUAUUUCUCCUUCAGGAUAGGGUGCCUGCAGCGCUUCAUGGGAGGGGGUGGGCUGAUGCUGCGGACUCAGAAGUUUCAAGGGCAUCUGGGGAGACCAGAUAUUCAGAGACCUUCUCCUAGAUGUGCCUGUUCCAUGUAUCAGGGACGCAGGUUUUCCCAACAGGGCUGGUGUCAUUGGCAUGACAGACCUGCCUUGGCUGAGCAUUCACCCGUCUUUGGAGUUCAGCCACCUUAGCAAGUCCUGGGUUUGUUCUUCAGACUUUGCUGCUCGCCCAUUGCCUGGAUCGGGGGCUACUUUGUAAACCACCAGGAAGACUCCAGUGUUUCUGCUUAAUUUUUAGAUGUUUGUUAAUUGCUCUUGGUCUCUCAUUAAUCCCCUGUGGGUCAUCCAGGAAACAUACUCACCACUGUCUGUUCUCUGAGUUUUCAUUUCCAGGCAUCCGCCCUGCCUGGAUCUCCUCACCUGCCAGGAACUUCCUCUCCACAAGCCGGCCAUCCCAGCAAAAGUUCUAACACCAAAGGUCUGGCAACUAGCCUGCCAUCUUGUGCCUGGAGCCGCCUGCGUGCCACCUACUCCCGAAGAUGGGAACCUUGUUGCCAGUCGGGCAGAUGCGGGGCAAUCCUGUACCAAGACCCCAUUUUACCACCUGCUUUCUCAGACCACUCUGGAACCCACUGUCUCAGAUUGUGUCCUCCAGGAAGCAGACCAUGAGAGGGAGUUGGCAGGGCCAAAGAUUUACUGGGGCUAACUAACACUCAGGAAAGGGAUAGGAAGGAAACAGGGCUGGAGAGCAGGUUGAGCCCGACCUGACAGUCUCGAGCAGCCCAACAGGGAGGUGUGGAGCAAGGGUUGCCCACUAGAGGGGCCUGCAUUGGGUACGGGUGAUGGGGUCCACAUGGUACCUGGCAUAUAGCAGGCUGUGCAAUCCAUAUUAACUGACUGGAUAAAUUAAUGCCCAGAAAAGGUGCCCUGGAGAAUGGGUGUGUGCUGAACACAAUAGGGAAGGGCCCAGCAUCUGCCUUGGCAUAGGCAGAACUGUGCUGUGCCCUGCAACAGGCCACCUGAGAGCUGCUUUGAUCUUGUGUGUGCAUUAGACGACUGCCAGGGGCAUGAAGGGGAUGUGCUUCCAGGGCAUUUGCUGGCAGGGCGUCUCGUGAUCUCUUGGUAUUGGUGUGAGCACAGCCUGGCAGGAGAGGGCAGAUCUCCGUGCAAAGUACGUCAGAAAGCAGAUGGAAGCCAGGCCCCCUCCUGAAAGAGGCUCCUUGAAGGCUCCUGGGACCACAUUAUCAUUCUCUUCACUCGAGAGAUGAGGACACUGAAAUUCAGAGAGGGGAAGUGAUUUGCCUCAGCUUGUACUGGUUUCACUUUGUCACUCAGGCUGGAGUGCAGUGAUGUGAUCAUAGCUUUCUGCAGCCUUGACUUCCGGGCUCAAGUGAUCCUCCCACCUCCGCCUCCUUAGUAGCUAGGACCACAGGCAUGCACCAGCACACCCAGCAAAUUAAAAAAAAAUUUUUUUUAAAGAUGAGAUCUCACUAUGUUGCCCAGGCUGGUCUGAAAUUCCUGUCCUCAAGCAAUCCUCCUGCCUUAGCCUCCCAAAGUGCUGAGAUUACAGGCAUGAGCUACCAUGCCUGGCCUAAAACAUUUUUAAUGGAAGUAUAAUUUGCAAACAGAAAACAUGCCCAAAUAUUAAGUGAAUGCACUGAUGAACAUUCACAACUUAACAAGAUAGCCAGCACUUAAAUCACAAAAUAGAACACCGCUAGGACCUCUUUGUAAUACCCUCCAAGUCACUACUUCUGCCCAAAGGUAAUCGCUAUUUUGCAACAUUUUUUAUUACUUUAUAUAAAUGGGAUCGUACACUAUGUAAUCUUAUUACUGUCUGGAUUUUUAUAUUAAAUAUUGCUUGUGAGAUUC
Molecule: non-coding RNA, 2364 nt
Filed under: Pan troglodytes (chimpanzee)
Lineage: Eukaryota; Metazoa; Chordata; Mammalia; Primates; Hominidae
Source: RNAcentral